Molecule: ribosomal RNA, 532 nt
Filed under: uncultured bacterium
Lineage: Bacteria
Description: bacterial SSU rRNA
Rfam family: Bacterial small subunit ribosomal RNA
Source: RNAcentral
UUACCAGCCUUUGACAUCCCGGUCGCGAUUACCAGAGAUGGUUUUCUUCAGUUCGGCUGGACCGGUGACAGGUGCUGCAUGGCUGUCGUCAGCUCGUGUCGUGAGAUGUUGGGUUAAGUCCCGCAACGAGCGCAACCCUCGUCCUUAGUUGCCAUCAUUCAGUUGGGAACUCUAAGGAAACUGCCGGUGAUAAGCCGGAGGAAGGUGGGGAUGACGUCAAGUCCUCAUGGCCCUUACAGGCUGGGCUACACACGUGCUACAAUGGCGGUGACAGUGGGCAGCAAACUCGCGAGAGUGAGCUAAUCUCCAAAAGCCGUCUCAGUUCGGAUUGUUCUCCGCAACUCGAGAGCAUGAAGGCGGAAUCGCUAGUAAACGCGGAUCAGCAUGCCGCGGUGAAUACGUUCCCAGGCCUUGUACACACCGCCCGUCACACCAUGGGAGUUGGUUUCACCCGAAGGCAGUGCGCUAACCGCAAGGAGGCAGCUGACCACGGUGGGAUCAGCGACUGGGGUGAAGUCGUAACAAGGUAGCC